AUACAAUUUUUGUUCAUACUAUGCUGAACUUCAAAGGAAAGUGUUCUUUAGAGAAGCAAGUGGAAGCAAAACCCCCAUUUUUUUGUGAAGAGGGAGGAAAAUUAUCAGAAUAACUGAUAUCUUUUUUUGGAUACUUUUUCAUAUGCUGCCUUAAUUGCUUGAAGAGAUUAAAUAUAUACGAAUGAGCAGAAAAGAACAUUUGUGUUUAAGGUUAUAGAAUAAAAUGGAAAUCUAAGUGCAAACAUUUUGCUGAAGUAUCAUCUUAUGUAAUCUUUUGGAUUCUACUUAUCAAUGCAGUUACGAAACCUAUCCACAAGGCUGAUGGAUGCUAAUUGUCAAGAGAGGAUUAGGGCACAAAACUGGCAGAAAUGAGUAAACAGAUACAGGACCUGCUCAGGGAAUUCAGAUCUACCAGGCCUGCUACUGCCUAGUCCACUUCUCUGAAGUCAGCUCUACCCACUGAGCUACAGCUUGGUCAGGUUCCAUAAAGUCAGCUCCACAGAGAAUGGGUUCAUUUUGACACAGCCAGCUCUUCACAGGUUCCAGAGAGUCUUUGAGUGGGAGAACUCAGUGCAAAGAGAAUAUUUCUUUGGAGGGUCUCUACUUGCUGGCAGAACCCUGACUUCUGUUGCUGAAUUUGGGCAUCUCUGCACCUGAACAUAUGCACAGUAAUUCAUAAAGACCAGGGACAGAGCAUAAGAACAGCAGUUAUAGAGCUUAAAAGAAAGCACCUAAUAAUGUAUCCAAAAAAAGCAUGAUGGUAAAAAUACAACUGCACUUACAAAGAAGAAAAACCAAUGACAAACAAUCAAAGGAAUGUUGUGAACUGAAAAAUAAACUUCUGUCUGCAAAUUUUGUGCUUGCUCUUGUUACAAAUAACAUUAAAAUUACUAUAAUUGAAAGAA
Long non-coding RNA from Mauremys reevesii (Reeves's turtle), 905 nucleotides. RefSeq lists it as uncharacterized. The transcript is spliced from 4 exons. The record is from RefSeq and is a predicted model, not a curated record. NCBI's taxonomy places the organism in Eukaryota, Metazoa, Chordata, Testudines, Geoemydidae.